UACGCUGGCGGCACGCCUAACACAUGCAAGUCGAACGCAGUAGCAAUACUGAGUGGCAAACGGGUGAGUAUAAUGUGGGAAUCUGCCUUUUGGUUUGGAAUAACACGGGGAAACUUGUGCUAAUACCGAAUAAGCCCUUACGGGGAAAGUUUUAACGCCGAAAGAUGAGCCCGCACUUGAUUAGCUAGUUGGUAAGGUAAAAGCUUACCAAGGCAACGAUCAAUAGCUGUUCUUAGAGGAAGACCAGCCACAUUGGGACUGAGACACGGCCCAGACUCCUACGG
Molecule: ribosomal RNA, 284 nt
Filed under: uncultured bacterium
Lineage: Bacteria
Description: partial 16S ribosomal RNA
Rfam family: Bacterial small subunit ribosomal RNA
Source: RNAcentral